Acanthosepion pharaonis is the source of this 97-nucleotide non-coding RNA. NCBI's taxonomy places the organism in Eukaryota, Metazoa, Mollusca, Cephalopoda, Sepiida, Sepiidae. The record is from the annotation of a GenBank genome assembly.
ACGAUUGAAACACCGGUUUCCGUAUGAUCACCGAAGUUAAGCAACGUCGAUCCUGGUCAGAAUUUAGAUGGGUGACCGCUUGGGAAUACCACGUGUU